This 262-nucleotide signal recognition particle RNA is filed under the name bacterium. RNAcentral describes it as "signal recognition particle sRNA large type". It matches the Rfam family "Bacterial large signal recognition particle RNA". Rfam says of the family: The signal recognition particle (SRP) is a universally conserved ribonucleoprotein involved in the co-translational targeting of proteins to membranes. Archaeal SRP consists of a 7S RNA and homologues of the eukaryotic SRP19 and SRP54 proteins. The record is from RNAcentral.
CCGUGCAGCCGGGGAGAUAGCGGUGCCCUAUACCUGCAAUCCGCUACAGCAGGGGUGAUAUUUUGCCUCGGGUUUAUUCUUGUAGGGCUGCCCUUUAUAAGUGAUGUUGACGUUUGGGUCUUACGCAACAGGAAUUUGUGAACCGUGUCAGGUCAGGAAUGAAGCAGCACUAAGCAAACACUCUUGUGUGCCGUAAGGCAGCCUGAGCCGAGUUAACUGUAAAGGUAACGCUUAUGAGGUAGAUUCAAAGCAAAAUGCACGG